This 379-nucleotide ribosomal RNA is filed under the name uncultured organism. RNAcentral's name for it is "partial 16S ribosomal RNA". It matches the Rfam family "Bacterial small subunit ribosomal RNA", at positions 527 to 896 of the family's 1533-position model. The record is from RNAcentral.
GUAGGUGGCAAGCGUUGUCCGGAAUUAUUGGGCGUAAAGCGCGCGCAGGCGGUCCUUUAAGUCUGAUGUGAAAGCCCACGGCUCAACCGUGGAGGGUCAUUGGAAACUGGGGGGACUUGAGUACAGAAGAGGAAAGCGGAAUUCCAAGUGUAGCGGUGAAAUGCGUAGAGAUUUGGAGGAACACCAGUGGCGAAGGCGGCUUUCUGGUCUGUAACUGACGCUGAGGCGCGAAAGCGUGGGGAGCAAACAGGGAUUAGAUACCCUGGUAGUCCACGCCGUAAACGAUGAGUGCUAAGUGUUAGGGGGGUUUCCCGCCCCCCUUAGUGCUCGCAGCUAACGCAUUAAGCACUCCGCCUGGGGAGUACGGCCCGCAAGGCUG